RNAcentral lists this small nuclear RNA (101 nucleotides) under Smittium mucronatum. Lineage: Eukaryota; Fungi; Kickxellomycota; Harpellomycetes; Harpellales; Legeriomycetaceae. The record is from RNAcentral.
UUCAGGCCUCUGACACUUGAUAAAAUCGGAUCGAUAUAUAGAAGAUUAGCAUGUCCCCUGCGCAAGAAUGAAAUGUAAAUCUUGAAUGUCAACCUCUAUUC